GGAGGAACCAUUUAUAAGUUCAUUAAUUAACUAUAAAUAUAUAUGAUCUUCAUAGAUUAUAUUUGUGUAGUUAUUGCAGUUGAAGUUUUACUGCUACUGGCUGAAGCAAGCAAGAUUAGCUUGAUAAAAAUUCGGGAAAGAAGGUUAACUGAUCAAGAAUUAUCUAGCAAUUAAAGAGAUCUUUGGCUUCCUGUGUAGAGAGGGGAGACUGUAAUUGUGAUCGUCUAUGAGAAUAAAUUUCAAAUAUGUAAAUAAAACUGCUGCAAAACAUUUUAUCAUUUUCUUUCGUUUGACCAGAACAUUUUUUCGAGUUCAAAGAACUUUUCGCGUUUAUAUAUAUAUAAGGUUAAACAGUGGCAGAAGUAAGGAGGAUAAUUUUUUAUACCAAUUUUCUCACACGUAAAUUCGAAUUUUACGGAAAUACGAGGUAAAUUCCGAAUAGAAAAUAGUUACGAUAUUUAUCGAUGCUUGGUGCUUGCCUGCAGAACGAGAAAAUAACGAUAAUGAAGGUCUGAAAAUAGUCCAUAGUUUUGACCGGUUGAAUGCAAAUUUCAAGAUUGGUUGCUUGCAGUGAUACUAGUUUUGAUCUGUAAUUGCUUUCUUAUGGUUAUUUUUGAUUUAACCUCUGAAGAAUAUUCGUUUGUUUGCACCCUUCGCAUAUCUCAUUCAGCGGCAUUUUCCUUAACACCCUUGAACUUCAGACGUUUAUCAGUAAUAACGAUAAAUCUUAAACCAAAGUGCAGCAACCGCUACGUAAUUAUUGAUUCACGGAUAUUGCAAAAUUGCUUAUUCUUUCAAAUAAAUAUUCAUCGCGCAUCACGUUUGGAUGACUAACUCUCUUAUUAUGUUGUUUAUCGCGCAAUUUUGGACGUAUAUAAUGAGAUUACCUUUAUUGGCUUAUCAAAACUUUACUGUUUUCCGUGUGUUGCAAUAAUUAAACGUUUCCGACUUUAUAGAGAUACGCUCGAAAUA
This 972-nucleotide long non-coding RNA is filed under the name Androctonus crassicauda. The record is from RNAcentral. Lineage: Eukaryota; Metazoa; Arthropoda; Arachnida; Scorpiones; Buthidae.